RNAcentral lists this ribosomal RNA (771 nucleotides) under uncultured bacterium. RNAcentral describes it as "bacterial SSU rRNA". It matches the Rfam family "Bacterial small subunit ribosomal RNA", at positions 8 to 796 of the family's 1533-position model. The record is from RNAcentral.
AGAGUUUGAUCCUGGCUCAGGACGAACGCUGGCGGCGUGCUUAACACAUGCAAGUCGAGCGGAAAGGCCCUUCGGGGUACUCGAGCGGCGAACGGGUGAGUAACACGUGAGUAACCUGCCCUUGGCUCUGGGAUAGCUCCGGGAAACCGGAAUUAAUACCGGAUAUGACUUCGGCCGACAUCGGCUGCGGUGGAAAGAUUUAUCGGCCAGGGAUGGGCUCGCGGCCUAUCAGCUUGUUGGUGGGGUAACGGCCUACCAAGGCGACGACGGGUAGCCGGCCUGAGAGGGCGACCGGCCACACUGGGACUGAGACACGGCCCAGACUCCUACGGGAGGCAGCAGUGGGGAAUAUUGCGCAACGGGCGAAAGCCUGACGCAGCGACGCCGCGUGGGGGAUGAAGGCCUUCGGGUUGUAAACCCCUUUCGGCAGGGACGAAGCGAAAGUGACGGUACCUGCAGAAGAAGCGCCGGCUAACUACGUGCCAGCAGCCGCGGUAACACGUAGGGCGCAAGCGUUGUCCGGAAUCAUUGGGCGUAAAGAGCUCGUAGGUGGUUUGUCACGUCUGCUGUGAAAACUCGGGGCUUAACCCCGAGCUUGCAGUGGAUACGGGCAGACUAGAGGUAGGUAGGGGAGAAUGGAAUUCCCGGUGUAGCGGUGAAAUGCGCAGAUAUCGGGAGAACACCGGUGGCGGAAGGCGGUUCUCUGGGCCUUACCUGACACUGAGGAGCGAAAGCGUGGGGAGCGAACAGGAUUAGAUACCCUGGUAGUCC